Molecule: non-coding RNA, 235 nt
Organism: Pelobates cultripes (western spadefoot toad)
Lineage: Eukaryota; Metazoa; Chordata; Amphibia; Anura; Pelobatidae
Source: the annotation of a GenBank genome assembly
GUGGGGUGUUCUCCCUCAGUGGGGUGGAUCAGGACUUCAUGCGUGCGGCUGUGGGUUCUCUCUUCAGCUGCUAUUUAAGUCCUCAUGGUAGGCUGUAUAUAAGGAGGGAUCAGGGAGGCGUGAGAGGCUUUAAUACCCUGGGAUCUAGUCCUACACUGCUGCCAUAGCCCUCAGGGUUAAUGGGAUCUUCACCUGGGUCUCCGAUCUCCCCUGCGAUCCCUGCCGGAGUGUGUGG